GAAAUGCGAUAAGUAAUGUGAAUUGCAGAAUUCAGUGAAUCAUCGAAUCUUUGAACGCACAUUGCGCCCGCCAGUAUUCUGGCGGGCAUGCCUGUUCGAGCGUCAUUUCAACCAUCAAGCCCCCGGGCUUGUGUUGGGGACCUGCGGCUGCCGCAGGCCCCGAAAACCAGUGGCGGGCUCGCUGUCACACCGGGCUUAGUAGAUUUUUCGUCUCGCCCAGGGCGUGCUGCGGGUUCCGGCCGUUAAAAAGCCUCUCUUUUUAACCCAAGGUUGACCUCGGAUCAGGUAGGAAGACCCGCUGAACUUAAGC
RNAcentral lists this unclassified non-coding RNA (310 nucleotides) under plant metagenome. RNAcentral describes it as "partial contains 5.8S ribosomal RNA, internal transcribed spacer 2, and large subunit ribosomal RNA". The stretch from base 1 to 105 matches the Rfam family "5.8S ribosomal RNA", at positions 50 to 154 of the family's 154-position model. The record is from RNAcentral.